This is a transfer RNA of Trichosporon asahii var. asahii CBS 8904, 115 nucleotides long. It matches the Rfam family "tRNA". From Rfam's summary of the family: Transfer RNA (tRNA) molecules are approximately 80 nucleotides in length. Their secondary structure includes four short double-helical elements and three loops (D, anti-codon, and T loops). The record is from Rfam. Lineage: Eukaryota; Fungi; Basidiomycota; Tremellomycetes; Trichosporonales; Trichosporonaceae.
GGCGAGAUGGCCGAGCGGUCUAAGGCGCUGUGUUAAGGUUCUUCCUCUCUUUCCUCUGAGAGCUCGGAUGCUCCUCCGCAGUCUUCGGACGUGGGUUCGAAUCCCACUCUCGUCA